This 435-nucleotide ribosomal RNA is filed under the name uncultured bacterium. RNAcentral's name for it is "bacterial SSU rRNA". It matches the Rfam family "Bacterial small subunit ribosomal RNA", at positions 62 to 543 of the family's 1533-position model. The record is from RNAcentral.
UCGAACGAGACCUUCGGGUCUAGUGGCGCACGGGUGCGUAACGCGUGGGAAUCUGCCCUUCGGUUCGGAAUAACUCAGGGAAACUUGAGCUAAUACCGGAUGAUGACUUCGGUCCAAAGAUUUAUCGCCGAGGGAUGAGCCCGCGUAGGAUUAGCUUGUUGGUGAGGUAAAAGCUCACCAAGGCGACGAUCCUUAGCUGGUCUGAGAGGAUGAUCAGCCACACUGGGACUGAGACACGGCCCAGACUCCUACGGGAGGCAGCAGUGGGGAAUAUUGGACAAUGGGCGAAAGCCUGAUCCAGCAAUGCCGCGUGAGUGAUGAAGGCCUUAGGGUUGUAAAGCUCUUUUACCCGGGAUGAUAAUGACAGUACCGGGAGAAUAAGCCCCGGCUAACUCCGUGCCAGCAGCCGCGGUAAUACGGAGGGGGCUAGCGUUG